This 1224-nucleotide long non-coding RNA is filed under the name Heterocephalus glaber (naked mole-rat). Its description in RNAcentral is "lncRNA (ENSHGLG00000047998.1)". The record is from RNAcentral. Lineage: Eukaryota; Metazoa; Chordata; Mammalia; Rodentia; Bathyergidae.
GUGCAGUCAGGGAUGCAGUGUGUGCUUUAUUGGGGGCAGCACUAGAGACCUCUGCUGGGCAGCUGCACAGGGAGCAGGACUUGGAGUUGCUCAGUUGGCAGCCACUGCACCUGGGUGACAAAAAAAGAGGCGGAAUUGCUCCAGGCGCGCCUCCUGGAACUGGGCAGGAUCAUAACUCUGCCCCAUCAGUGGGCCGCAGCAGUGACAGGUACCGCUCUUGUGCUAGGAGCCCAUGGCUCAGCAGUGCCUGAGCCAGGCCUGGCUGCACGGCCUCCAGCUGCCGCUUCACCACAGGAAACAGGUCCACCUCUCGAAAGUCAAACACCAGCAGCUUCCCAUACCUGCAAGCACUGCCAGUGAGCAUAAGGUGGAGCCUGGAGCCCCUGUCUGCCCAGCACCCUGCCCAGUACCCUGCCCAUCCUACCUCAGUGCCCCCAGCAGCGCCAUCCGGAUAGUCUCAGGUGCUCUGGGUUCAUGGUAUCUGUAUAGUUGGUGUCCUGGUAGCGCAGGAAGGUGGCUGCUUGGCCUGAAGGGUCUAUGACAAGAGGCCACCUGGGGGAGGCCGCCAGGUCACCGCUGGACACAGCCAUCCCAGACUCACCUGGGCCGAGCCUGAGUGCUGACCUGCUGUCAGCACUAAUGCAGUUGCCCACAUCCUUCAUCAGCAUGUCGUGGAGCUCGGUGACCUGGCACUUCAGCCCUGGAGCCUCCUCUUCCUCUGUGAGGAUGUUAGGAUAAUGCCCUUGGGAGCUCCCAAUCCAGACCCCUCUCCCCCGGCCUCACCACCCUCCACCCCCAGCAGAAGCCCCACUCAUCCUCCUGGCUCUGCUGCCGAAGCUCCAGCUGGGCCAUGGCCAGCAUCUCCUCAGUCUUAUGUGCCUCCUGCCGCAACCUGGCCACGUGGGCCUCUAUCCUUGAUGGCCUGGGGGGAGGUCCACACUGUCACCUUCCCUUCCCCCUUCUUGGCUCAGGGCCACUGCCUUAGGCUUUACCCAUCUCCCAUGGUGAUCUGGGUACUGGCCCCAAGUUCCAGGGCAAAGAUCCCAGCAAUACUGGGCCUGGCAGGGGAAGCCCUGGGCAGGUGUAGGACAAGGAGAGUACAGGAGGCAGGGCACAGCUCAGGAGUAGCCACACCUGCAGUGUGAGCUCAGCCUUGCCCGGGCACUUCUGCUGGCACCUGUCAUGCUCUGAGAUCCUCUGAUGGAGUUCACAAUAGGCCUGCUG